This 485-nucleotide ribosomal RNA is filed under the name Carausius detractus. RNAcentral describes it as "partial large subunit ribosomal RNA". The stretch from base 337 to 485 matches the Rfam family "Bacterial large subunit ribosomal RNA", at positions 2473 to 2621 of the family's 2925-position model. Lineage: Eukaryota; Metazoa; Arthropoda; Insecta; Phasmatodea; Lonchodidae. The record is from RNAcentral.
AGGCCGCGGUAUUUUGACUGUGCAAAGGUAGCAUAAUCAUUUGUUUAUUAAUUGUGAACUUGUAUGAAUGGUGUGACGAAAUAUUAACUGUCUUAUUAUAAAAUUAGAAAUUAAAUUUUGAGUUAAAAUGCUUAAAUUUUUUUUUGUUGGACGAGAAGACCCUAUAGAUUUUCAUUAUUUGUUUAAUAAGUUUUUUUAGUAUAUUUUAUUUUUAUUGAGUAUAUUUUUUUGUUGGGGUGACAUGGAGAAUUAUUUGAAUUAACUCUUUAUAUAUUUUUUACAAUUAUUUUUGAUUUAUUGAAUUUAUUUUAUUGAUAAAAGAUAAAAUACCUUAGGGAUAACAGCGUAAUUUUUUUUGAGAGUUCAUAUUGACAAAGAAGAUUGCGACCUCGAUGUUGGAUUAAGAUUAUUAUAAGGUGUAGGGGCUUUAAAAAUAAGUCUGUUCGACUUUUAAAAUCUUACAUGAUCUGAGUUCAAAACCGGAG